AACUCACCUGCCGAAGCAACCAGCCCUGAAAAUGGAUGGCGCUUUAGCGUUCUGCCUAUACUCAACCGCUAGAAUGGAGCUGGCACUUCGGUGCAGAGCCCGUAUAUUCUAGUGAGUAAGGAGGUGUGAUGGUAAGCGUUGAAGGGUCUGGGUGUAAACCUGCCUGGAGCUGCCAUCGGCACAGAUCUUGGUGGUAGUAGCAAAUACUCAAGUGAGAUCCUUGAGGGCUGACGUGGAGAAGGGUUCCAUGUGAACAGCAAUUGCACAUGGGUGAGUCGUUCCUAAGCCAAAGGCGAAAGCCACGCUCAUAAACUUGUGGCCACAUGAAUCUUAUAAAAAAUAUACCAUGCCAGAAGCAGCGCUAGUGGAAGCAAUAAUGGUUAAUGCAACCAUGCCAGAAGCAGCGCUAGUGGAAGCAAUAAUGGUUAAUUUUUUCUUUCGAGUGAGCCUGCAAGGAGUUUGGCGAAAGGGAAUCCGGUACUCAUUCCGGAACCUGGACAUGAGGAGUAGUGUUGCUUUAUGCAUCACAUAGCCGCAAGGCAUUUACCAUCCUGGAGAAUCCAACCAGAGAGCCGGGAAGAGUUGUCUUUUCUGCUUAAGGGGAAGAGGGCCUUGUGAACUGGGUCGGUCAGAGAGAGGGUCUUUUCCCCGAAUAGCACCGCGGUUCUUGCGGAGUCCAGCUCCUCUGGUAUGGAACUUGAAAAUCCAGGGGUAAGAUGAAAUACCUUCAUGCCAGUUCGUACCCAUAUCCGCAUCUGGUCUCCAAGGUGAACAGCCUCUUGCCGAUAGAUGAAUGUAGGUAAGGGAAGUCGGCAAGCCAGAUCCGUAACUUCGGGA
Molecule: ribosomal RNA, 837 nt
Filed under: Candoninae sp. 10 IK-2017
Lineage: Eukaryota; Metazoa; Arthropoda; Ostracoda; Podocopida; Candonidae
Description: LSU rRNA
Rfam family: Eukaryotic large subunit ribosomal RNA
Source: RNAcentral